Molecule: ribosomal RNA, 483 nt
Filed under: uncultured bacterium
Lineage: Bacteria
Description: partial 16S ribosomal RNA
Rfam family: Bacterial small subunit ribosomal RNA
Source: RNAcentral
GACGAACGCUGGCGGCGUGCUUAACACAUGCAAGUCGAACGAUGAAGCGGGUGCUUGCACUCGUGGAUUAGUGGCGAACGGGCGAGUAACACGUGAGUAACCUGUCCUUUUCUUUGGGAUAACGGCUGGAAACGGCUGCUAAUACUGGAUAUUCAGGCUGCAUCGCAUGGCGUGGUUUGGAAAGGUUUUUUCUGGGAUUGGGUGGGCUCGCGGCCUAUCAGCUUGUUGGUGGGGUGAUGGCUUACCAAGGCUUUGACGGGUAGCCGGCCUGAGAGGGUGGUCGGUCGCACUGGGACUGAGAUACGGCCCAGACUCCUACGGGAGGCAGCAGUGGGGAAUAUUGCACAAUGGACGAAAGUUUGAUGCAGCGACGCCGCGUGGAGGGUGUAGGCCUUCGGGUUGUGAACUCCUUUUUCUCGCGAAAAAGGCACAGUUUUGGCUGUGUUGAUGGUAGUGGGGGAAGAAGCGCCGGCUAACUACGUG